CCUACGGGAGGCUGCAGUAGGGAAUCUUCCACAAUGGGCGAAAGCCUGAUGGAGCAACGCCGCGUGGGUGAAGAAGGUCUUCGGAUCGUAAAACCCUGUUGUUAGAGAAGAAAGUGCGUGAGAGUAACUGUUCACGUUUCGACGGUAUCUACCCAGAAAGCCACGGCUAACUCCGUGCCAGCAGCCGCGGUAAUACGUAGGGGGCAAGCGUUAUCCGGAUUUAUUGGGCGUAAAGGGAACGCAGGCGGUCUGUUAAGUCUGAUGUGAAAGCCUUCGGCUUAACCGGGGUAGUGCAUUGGAAACUGGGAGACUGGAGUGCAGAAGAGGAGAGUGGAACUCCAUGUGUAGCGGUGAAAUGCGUAGAUAUAUGGAAGAACACCAGUGGCGAAGGCGGCUCUCUGGUCGGUAACUGACGCUGAGGUUCGAAAGCGUGGGUAGCAAACAGGAUUAGAUACCCGGGUAGUC
RNAcentral lists this ribosomal RNA (465 nucleotides) under uncultured bacterium. RNAcentral's name for it is "partial 16S ribosomal RNA". It matches the Rfam family "Bacterial small subunit ribosomal RNA", at positions 338 to 795 of the family's 1533-position model. The record is from RNAcentral.